AGUGAACGCUGGCGGUAGGCCUAACACAUGCAAGUCGAACGGCAGCACAGUAAGAGCUUGCUCUUACGGGUGGCGAGUGGCGGACGGGUGAGGCAUACAUCGGAAUCUACUUUUUCGUGGGGGAUAACGUAGGGAAACUUACGCUAAUACCGCAUACGACCUACGGGUGAAAGCAGGGGAUCUUCGGACCUUGCGCGAUUGAAUGAGCCGAUGUCGGAUUAGCUAGUUGGCGGGGUAAAGGCCCACCAAGGCGACGAUCCGUAGCUGACCUGAGAGGAUGAUCGGCCACACUGGAACUGAGACACGGUCCAGACUCCUACGGGAGGCAGCAGUGGGGAAUAUUGGACAAUGGGCGCAAGCCUGAUCCAGCCAUACCGCGUGAGUGAAGAAGGCCUUCGGAUUGUAAAGCCCUUUUGUUGGGAAAGAAAAGCAGCAGGUUAAUACCCCGCUGUUCUGACGGUACCCAAAGAAUAAGCACCGGCUAACUUCGUG
RNAcentral lists this ribosomal RNA (492 nucleotides) under uncultured bacterium. RNAcentral describes it as "partial 16S ribosomal RNA". It matches the Rfam family "Bacterial small subunit ribosomal RNA", at positions 29 to 507 of the family's 1533-position model. The record is from RNAcentral.